This 350-nucleotide unclassified non-coding RNA is filed under the name plant metagenome. RNAcentral describes it as "partial contains 5.8S ribosomal RNA, internal transcribed spacer 2, and large subunit ribosomal RNA". The stretch from base 1 to 105 matches the Rfam family "5.8S ribosomal RNA", at positions 50 to 154 of the family's 154-position model. The record is from RNAcentral.
GAAAUGCGAUAAGUAAUGUGAAUUGCAGAAUUCAGUGAAUCAUCGAAUCUUUGAACGCACCUUGCGCUCCUUGGUAUUCCGAGGAGCAUGCCUGUUUGAGUGUCAUGGCAUUCUCAACUCUAUUUGCUUUUGUGAAUAGAGCUUGGAUUUGGAGGUUUAUUGCUGGUACUUGUGAUCGGCUCCUCUUGAAUGCAUUAGCUCGAACCUUUGCGGAUCAGCUAUCGGUGUGAUAAUUGUCUACGCCGUUGCAGUGAAGCAUAUCAAUGGGCUCGGCUUCCAAUCGUCCUUUACUGGACAAUGACUUUGACCUUUGACCUCAAAUCAGGUAGGAUUACCCGCUGAACUUAAGC